UAUACGACCGUACCGCAAACCGACACUGGUGCGCGAGAUGAGUAUUCUAAGGCGCUUGAGAGAACUCAGGAGAAGGAACUCGGCAAAUUGACACCGUAACUUCGGAAGAAGGUGUGCCCUAUUAGUGUGUAGUGAACAACGAAGCAUGAAUGGGUUGCAAAAAAUCGGUGGCUGCGACUGUUUAUUAAAAACACAGCACUCUGCAAACACGAAAGUGGACGUAUAGGGUGUGACGCCUGCCCGGUGCUGGAAGAUUAAAUGAUGGGGUGCAAGCUCUUGAUUGAAGUCCCAGUAAACGGCGGCCGUAACGAUAACGGUCCUAAGGUAGCGAAAUUCCUUGUCGGGUAAGUUCCGACCUGCACGAAUGGCGUAACGAUGGCCACACUGUCUCCUCCUGAGACUCAGCGAAGUUGAAAUGUUUGUGAUGAUGCAAUCUCCCCGCGGAAAGACGGAAAGACCCCAUGAACCUUUACUGUAGCUUUGUAUUGGACUUUGAACAGAUCUGUGUAGGAUAGGUGGGAGGCUUUGAAGCAGGGUCGCUAGAUCUUGUGGAGCCAACGUUGAAAUACCACCCUGGUGUGUUUGAGGUUCUAACCUAGGUCCAUUAUCUGGAUCGGGGACAGUGCAUGGUAGGCAGUUUGACUGGGGCGGUCUCCUCCCAAAGCGUAACGGAGGAGUUCGAAGGUACGCUAGUUACGGUCGGACAUCGUGACGAUAGUGCAAUGGCAUAAGCGUGCUUAACUGCGAGACUGACAAGUCGAGCAGAUGCGAAAGCAGGACAUAGUGAUCCGGUGGUUCUGUAUGGAAGGGCCAUCGCUCAACGGAUAAAAGGUACUCUGGGGAUAACAGGCUGAUACCGCCCAAGAGUUCAUAUCGACGGCGGUGUUUGGCACCUCGAUGUCGGCUCAUCUCAUCCUGGGGCUGUAGCCGGUCCCAAGGGUAUGGCUGUUCGCCAUUUAAAGAGGUACGUGAGCUGGGUUUAAAACGUCGUGAGACAGUUUGGUCCCUAUCUUCCGUGGGCGCUGCAGAUUUGAGGAAGCCUGCUCCUAGUACGAGAGGACCGGAGUGGACACACCUCUGGUGUAUCGGUUGUCACGCCAGUGGCAUUGCCGAGUAGCUAAGUGUGGAAGAGAUAACCGCUGAAAGCAUCUAAGCGGGAAACUCGUUUCAAGAUGAGAUCUGCCGGGGCCUUGAGCCCCCUAAAGAGUCGUUCAAGACCAGGACGUUGAUAGGUCAGGUGUGGAAGCCA
Molecule: ribosomal RNA, 1249 nt
Filed under: metagenome
Description: bacterial LSU rRNA
Rfam family: Bacterial large subunit ribosomal RNA
Source: RNAcentral